UGAGAUCUAAACUAACAUCACCAUCAAUAUUUUUAGGUGAAACCACAGCGAUGCGCCCGGUAGUUGCAGUCUAAAAAUAUUUAGCAGGACGUUAAUCUGAACCCCGCCAGCUGAUUAAUCCAAUCACAAUGGAACUUACUCCCAACAACACUCGAAGGGGUAACCAAGAUUAAGAUGCAACAGGCUAUUAAAUGAUCUAUCGUCUAUG
Molecule: long non-coding RNA, 208 nt
Filed under: Setaria italica (foxtail millet)
Lineage: Eukaryota; Viridiplantae; Streptophyta; Magnoliopsida; Poales; Poaceae
Description: long non-coding RNA (SITA_LNC006489)
Source: RNAcentral